GAUGAACGCUAGCUACAGGCUUAACACAUGCAAGUCGAGGGGCAUCAGGAAGAAAGCUUGCUUUCUUUGCUGGCGACCGGCGCACGGGUGAGUAACACGUAUCCAACCUGCCCUUUACUCGGGGAUAGCCUUUCGAAAGAAAGAUUAAUACCCGAUAGUAUAAUCAUUCCGCAUGGUUUGAUUAUUAAAGGAUUCCGGUAAAGGAUGGGGAUGCGUUCCAUUAGGUUGUUGGUGAGGUAACGGCCCACCAAGCCUUCGAUGGAUAGGGGUUCUGAGAGGAAGGUCCCCCACAUUGGAACUGAGACACGGUCCAAACUCCUACGGGAGGCAGCAGUGAGGAAUAUUGGUCAAUGGGCGCGAGCCUGAACCAGCCAAGUAGCGUGAAGGAUGACUGCCCUAUGGGUUGUAAACUUCUUUUAUAUUAGAAUAAAGUGCAGUAUGUAUACUGUUUUGUAUGUAUAAUAUGAAUAAGGAUCGGCUAACUCCGUGCCAGCAGCCGCGGUAAUACGGAGGAUCCGAGCGUUAUCCGGAUUUAUUGGGUUUAAAGGGAGCGUAGGUGGACUGGUAAGUCAGUUGUGAAAGUUUGCGGCUCAACCGUAAAAUUGCAGUUGAUACUGUCAGUCUUGAGUACAGUAGAGGUGGGCGGAAUUCGUGGUGUAGCGGUGAAAUGCUUAGAUAUCACGAAGAACUCCGAUUGCGAAGGCAGCUCACUGGACUGCAACUGACACUGAUGCUCGAAAGUGUGGGUAUCAAACAGGAUUAGAUACCCUGGUAGUCCACACAGUAAACGAUGAAUACUCGCUGUUUGCGAUAUACAGUAAGCGGCCAAGCGAAAGCAUUAAGUAUUCCACCUGGGGAGUACGCCGGCAACGGUGAAACUCAAAGGAAUCGACGGGGGCCCGCACAAGCGGAGGAACAUGUGGAUUUAAUUUGAUGAUACGCGAGGAACCUUACCCGGGCUUAAAUUGCAGUGGAAUGAUGUGGAAUCAUGUCUGUGAGCAAUCACCGCUGUGAAGGUGUUGCAUGGUUGUCGUCAGCUCGUGCCGUGAGGUGUCGGCUUAAGUGCCAUAACGAGCGCAACCCUUAUCUUCAGUUACUAACAGGUCAUGCUGAGGACUAUGGAGAGACUGCCGUCGUAAGAUGUGAGGAAGGUGGGGAUGACGUCAAAUCAGCACGGCCCUUACGUCCGGGGCUACACACGUGUUACAAUGGGGGGUACAGAAGGCAGCUACCUGGUGACAGGAUGCUAAUCCCAAAAGCCUCUCUCAGUUCGGAUCGAAGUAUGCAAACCGAAUUCGUGAAGCUGGAUUCGCUAGUAAUCGCGCAUCAGCCACGGCGCGGUGAAUACGUUCCCGGGCCUUGUACACACCGCCCGUCAAGCCAUGGGAGCCGGGGGUACAUGAAGUACGUAACCGCAAGGAGCGUCCUAGGGUA
RNAcentral lists this ribosomal RNA (1434 nucleotides) under uncultured organism. RNAcentral's name for it is "SSU rRNA". It matches the Rfam family "Bacterial small subunit ribosomal RNA". The record is from RNAcentral.